CUUAANNNNNANCNAGUCGAACGGUAACAGGAAGGAAGNUUGCUUUCUUUGCUGACGAGUGGCGGACGGGUGAGUAAUGCUUGGGAAUCUGGCUUAUGGAGGGGGAUAACUACUGGAAACGGUAGCUAAUACCGCGUAAUGUCUACGGACUAAAGGGGGCAUUUGCUCCUGCCAUAAGAUGAGCCCAAGUGGGAUUAGGUAGUUGGUGAGGUAACGGCUCACCAAGCCGUCGAUCUCUAGCUGGUCUGAGAGGAUGACCAGCCACACUGGAACUGAGACACGGUCCAGACUCCUACGGGAGGCAGCAGUGGGGAAUAUUGCACAAUGGGGGAAACCCUGAUGCAGCCAUGCCGCGUGAAUGAAGAAGGCCUUCGGGUUGUAAAGUUCUUUCGGUGAUGAGGAAGGUGUGAUGGUUAAUACCCAUCACAAUUGACGUUAGUCACAGAAGAAGCACCGGCUAACUCCGUGCCAGCAGCCGCGGUAAUACGGAGGGUGCGAGCGUUAAUCGGAAUAACUGGGCGUAAAGGGCACGCAGGCGGUUGUUUAAGUGAGGUGUGAAAGCCCCGGGCUCAACCUGGGAAUUGCAUUUCAGACUGGACAACUAGAGUACUUUAGGGAGGGGUAGAAUUCCAUGUGUAGCGGUGAAAUGCGUAGAGA
This 657-nucleotide ribosomal RNA is filed under the name Muribacter muris. RNAcentral's name for it is "bacterial SSU rRNA". It matches the Rfam family "Bacterial small subunit ribosomal RNA", at positions 47 to 696 of the family's 1533-position model. The record is from RNAcentral. Lineage: Bacteria; Pseudomonadati; Pseudomonadota; Gammaproteobacteria; Pasteurellales; Pasteurellaceae.